GCUCCUGUAGUUCAACGGAUCGAAUACGGGUUUGCGGAACCCGGGAUAGCAGUUCAAUUCUGCUCGGGAGCACAA
Molecule: transfer RNA, 75 nt
Filed under: Candidatus Roizmanbacteria bacterium CG06_land_8_20_14_3_00_34_14
Lineage: Bacteria; Candidatus Roizmaniibacteriota
Also listed under: 1 other name
Description: tRNA-Arg
Rfam family: tRNA
About the family: Transfer RNA (tRNA) molecules are approximately 80 nucleotides in length. Their secondary structure includes four short double-helical elements and three loops (D, anti-codon, and T loops).
Source: RNAcentral